RNAcentral lists this ribosomal RNA (395 nucleotides) under uncultured eukaryote. Its description in RNAcentral is "partial 18S ribosomal RNA". It matches the Rfam family "Eukaryotic small subunit ribosomal RNA", at positions 592 to 976 of the family's 1831-position model. The record is from RNAcentral.
CAAUAGCGUAUAUUAAAGUUGUUGCAGUUAAAAAGCUCGUAGUUGGAUUUCUGAAUUGAAUAUCCGGUCCGCUCGUCUCUGAUGAGUGCGUACCUAUGGAUAUUGGAUUCAUUUUUUGUGAGGACAUUUAUCUGUCAUUAAGUUGAUGGAUUUAUAGACUUGCAUCGUUUACUGUGAAAAAAUUAGAGUGUUUAAAGCAGGCGUUCGCCCAUUUGAAUACAUUAGCAUGGAAUAAUAAGAUAUGACUUUGGUGGUCUAUUUUGUUGGUUUGCACACCAGAGUAAUGAUUAAUAGGGACAGUUGGGGGUAUUCAUAUUUCAACGUCAGAGGUGAAAUUCUUAGAUCGUUGAAAGAUGACCUUAGGCGAAAGCAUUUACCAUGGAUGUUUUCAUUAA